AUGAAAUUCUAAAGCCAAACAAUUCUCGACGUUCCAACCCCCAAUAUUUUAAAUGAAAUUUUUGCUCAACUUUGUUGUCAUGUUCACCAUUUCUCUCCCCACUCAAAACCAACCCUCACUAUCGGUGGCCACACACUCCACCGUCCCUUCUUUAUUCAUUUUUAUCUCUUUAAGGUUAAACGGGAAAAAUUUUUCUAUUUUGAUUUGUUUUGUUUAAUAUUCAUAAGAUGAAAUAAUUUGAUUCCAAAUUUAAUAUGAGGUUUUAGGAAAUUCUCGCAAGGUUGGAUAAAAUGCGAUCGAGCCUACUCUAGUUCAAGUUCAAGGCAGAUGCGGAGACAAGAGAGGUGGAGCACUGGAGCUUAACUUUGGAUUUUAGAUACCUAGCAAAAGUACAACAAUGGCUAAAAAGGCCAAACUUUUUUUUUCCUUUUUUUUUUUUUGUCUCUCCUAAUGUUUCUCCCAGGGUACCUCAAGAUGUUGUAGUAAUGGGCAGAAAAUGCAUGAUUUAAAAGUGGGUAAAAGUUCUUGGGAAGGUGAGAAGGCCUCAAGAAGCUCUUUAGGAUUUCAAUAUGAUGCUUGUAAUUUUUCACUAUUUUAUCACUUUAUGCAAUGAGAGAUCUUUUUUAGUAUUUAUGCAAUGUUGUUGGUUUAAUAUUUAACUCCUAAACUGUUAAGGGAGACUGCCAGAGAGAUAGAUAGAUUAAUAUCCUGAUUUAGCUGCAUAUAACAAUAUUGCUAUUCCAUUUGGCAAGCUGGUCUUUUGAAGGAACUCUUGAACAUAAUUGAGUGCAUAAGGCAGAAACUUUGUAAAAGAAUUAAAAAAAUGUGUCCCAAGAAUCGGGAUCCAAGUGCUGAACCUGAUCUAGUUAUAAUUAAUGUUGUAUGUGAGCAUUUCAAUGCUUGUUCUUUUUGACAUUCUAUGACUUCUUUCAAUCCAUUAAAUUAUGAUAUAAUAAUUUU
Molecule: non-coding RNA, 960 nt
Organism: Durio zibethinus
Lineage: Eukaryota; Viridiplantae; Streptophyta; Magnoliopsida; Malvales; Malvaceae
Source: RefSeq, a predicted model, not a curated record